CACAUUUCUCUCCCUCCUAAAGCUGUUUGCUGAAAGCAAGCCACUCUGUUCAGAUAGACAGUCCGUCCUAGGCUGACAGAGCGAGGUAGGUCACCUGUGAUCUUGUAGGAAUCCUGUCUUAUGACCGACCCACUCUAUCAUCUUGUACUCAGACCUUGGGUCUCUGUGGCAGAACCGCGAUACUGAAGUCUCCUAAGGUGCCCUGGGCUCCAUCCACUCUUCCAGUGAAUACGCACUAAUGCCUGCUAAGCGCCAAGCGAAUCAGCCCAUUGGGGUUGUGCGCUAAGACAGCUCUGCCUUGGGAAGCCAUGUGGUUUGACACUGCAGACUUUGGCUAGGUUUCCCAGCUUGCUAAGAUGUAUGGCCCUAGAACACUCGCUUUUAUGGCCGAUGUUCAGAUGGGUCCUGCCAACACUCACUGGCUCCUCUCUGUCCAUGAAACUCAGCAAAGGCAAGUUUGGGCCUGGCUCCAACCUCCAACAGUCUGCCGAUCUUCAAGCUGAGAUCGCCACGGGGUUGUAUUGUAGGAUCAUCCAGCAAACUCAGCAUGAAAAGAGCCAGUGUGAGAAGGACAAUAAGCAAACUGGAUUGUGCACAUUCAGAGUCCGUGUCAACAAGAGACCUCAGGGAACCCACGGACCUGUGAUUAAAUGUCAGUUUUUAAAGAAACAGAAGGGGAAGAAAAUUUCCCAGCAUGUAAUAGCUCUCCUUAGAAGGCCAAUAAAACUUCUUAAUAAAAAAAAAAAAGCCCAGGAGAUUAUUAUCCCGGGAUAAUAGGAGGAAAGGGGGUUUGUAAUCCAUCUGAACCCAUGAUUUUCAGACACAUUUUGGCUGAGGAAUCCUUUGUUUAAACCAUUACCGAGAUGUGUAAACAAGCAAAAACACCACCCGCUCUGACUGAAAGCAGGGCCAGGGUUGCCUCAUGAUCCCCUAAGUACAUCUAAGCCCUCAUUUUAACCCGCUAAGAACUCAAGGAGGAGUAAGGGAGAUGAUUCACUUAGCAAAGGGAUCGUGAAAGCAAACAUGAGUUCAAUCCUGGACUCCCAUGUAAAGUGUCAGAUAUAGUGACAGGCACUUGUCCUCUCAGUGCAAGCGAGGCAGGGCCAGGUUACUGGCCAGUCAGUCUAAUCAGCAAAAUCCAGGCUCCAGGGAGAGACCCUGUCACUUACGGUAGAGUUCUGCUCUACUUUCUUGGUCUUGCCUGCAUUUUCGUAUUUUCUAUAGAGGAUAGACCUUAGUCUUCUCCUAAGAAAAGUGGAUCCUUCAGAAAUCUUAGCAGGCAGAUAGGGGUCCAGGUAUUACCCAGUUAUCAUCCCCUUGGAUUAGUCCGUGGAGACUAUUCUUUAACAGUUAUUAGUGUAAAGCCAGAUGCUGCUCAUCCCAGCCACUCAGUUCCAGGGUUCAAACCAGAGCCUGGAGCUUAGCAGGCAAGUGCUCUACCAUGAGGCAUAGCUCUAGCGCAAUCCCUCAUGCCUGGGAGGCCAAGACAGGAGAAUGGUGAGGUUAAAGUCAGCCCAGGCAACAUGGAGAACACGGUUAAGACCUUGUCCCAAAGAAAAACGUUACUGAAGAAUAAUUUUAACAGAGUAUGAGGAAUGAUUCGUCAAGAUGUUAAACUUAAAAAAGAAGAAACGCAGUUGCCAAGACUGCGGACAGUUGUCACAAAAAUAUUUGUUUUUAAAAUGUGGCUGUCUUGGAAAUGUGUUGAUGGGUUUUCUUUUUUCUGCACAUUCCAGAUGUUACAAUAAAAUUAGAUUAUUUUGUAACUGGAAUAUGGGGCAGGCCAGAUGGCACAGCAAGUAAAGCAUUUACCACCUAA
Arvicola amphibius (Eurasian water vole) is the source of this 1819-nucleotide long non-coding RNA. RefSeq lists it as uncharacterized. NCBI's taxonomy places the organism in Eukaryota, Metazoa, Chordata, Mammalia, Rodentia, Cricetidae. The transcript has 3 exons. The record is from RefSeq and is a predicted model, not a curated record.